GGGCUUGUUCGGGUAACACGUCGGUCUUCGGGCGGCUCCUCCUGGAGGUGUCGCCCGCGGGUCGUGUGUUUCUCGUCUCGCCUUGGGACGGCGCGUGAGUGGCCGCUAGGACACGAUCCCAGGGCAGGCUCCGAGCUUCCUGCACCGAACUGCCCUGGUCUGUCCGUUUCAUUUGUUGGCUCGCCCCGGCCCCUUCGGCCUCGGUUGCGGCUUCCCGAUGGGUUCUUGUGCUCGAUACCCGUGCGCGGUAGUUGGGUGGAUUAGUGUCCCCCCGGUCUUGGUUCCCUCGAUCCGCCUUCUUCCCUCGGGAGUUGGUGGGACAUCGUGCGGGCAUCCGACGUUGUCCUUCGGKAAAGUCGACCCCGUUCGCGGGCCCUUCUUCUCUCGUUGGCGCGUUGUUGCUGCCGGGCAUGCUCUCGGGUGCGGUGUUUUCGCUCGCUGUCCCGUCGGUCCUCGUCGGCCGCGGGCAGCGAUCUCGUCCCGUCGAAGCGUUCGCGCUUCUCCUCGCGCGACUCUCGUGCUCGUCCAAGGGCUCGCGGGGCUUCCCCGCCUCGCGAUCGUCUUGGGGAGGCACCGAGGUCUCCGGAGGAAUGCUACCUGGUUGAUCCUGCCAGUAGU
RNAcentral lists this unclassified non-coding RNA (618 nucleotides) under Acanthella sprucei. Its description in RNAcentral is "partial may contain 26S ribosomal RNA, external transcribed spacer, 18S ribosomal RNA". Lineage: Eukaryota; Viridiplantae; Streptophyta; Magnoliopsida; Myrtales; Melastomataceae. The record is from RNAcentral.